This 492-nucleotide ribosomal RNA is filed under the name uncultured bacterium. RNAcentral describes it as "partial 16S ribosomal RNA". It matches the Rfam family "Bacterial small subunit ribosomal RNA", at positions 29 to 507 of the family's 1533-position model. The record is from RNAcentral.
AGUGAACGCUGGCGGUAGGCCUAACACAUGCAAGUCGAACGGCAGCACAGUAAGAGCUUGCUCUUACGGGUGGCGAGUGGCGGACGGGUGAGGAAUACAUCGGAAUCUACUUUUUCGUGGGGGAUAACGUAGGGAAACUUACGCUAAUACCGCAUACGACCUACGGGUGAAAGCAGGGGAUCUUCGGACCUUGCGCGAUUGAAUGAGCCGAUGUCGGAUUAGCUAGUUGGCGGGGUAAAGGCCCACCAAGGCGACGAUCCGUAGAUGGUCUGAGAGGAUGAUCAGCCACACUGGACCUGAGACACGGUCCAGACUCCUACGGGAGGAAGCAGUGGGGAAUAUUGGACAAUGGGCGCAAGCCUGAUCCAGCCAUACCGCGUGGGUGAAGAAGGCCUUCGGGUUGUAAAGCCCUUUUGUUGGGAAAGAAAAGCAGCAGGUUAAUACCCCGCUGUUCUGACGGUACCCAAAGAAUAAGCACCGGCUAACUUCGUG